RNAcentral lists this microRNA precursor (64 nucleotides) under Heliconius melpomene (postman butterfly). Its description in RNAcentral is "Hme-Mir-10-P4_pre stem-loop". The record is from RNAcentral. Lineage: Eukaryota; Metazoa; Arthropoda; Insecta; Lepidoptera; Nymphalidae.
CUACCCUGUAGAUCCGGGCUUUUGUAGUUUAAUUUUCAUCAGAAGCUCGUCUCUACAGGUAUCU